RNAcentral lists this ribosomal RNA (253 nucleotides) under uncultured bacterium. RNAcentral's name for it is "partial 16S ribosomal RNA". It matches the Rfam family "Bacterial small subunit ribosomal RNA", at positions 524 to 776 of the family's 1533-position model. The record is from RNAcentral.
UACGGAGGGAGCUAGCGUUGUUCGGAAUUACUGGGCGUAAAGCGCACGUAGGCGGCUCAGCAAGUCAGGGGUGAAAGCCCGGAGCUCAACUCCGGAACUGCCUUUAAGACUGCAUCGCUUGAACGUCGGAGAGGUAAGUGGAAUUCCGAGUGUAGAGGUGAAAUUCGUAGAUAUUCGGAAGAACACCAGUGGCGAAGGCGACUUACUGGACGACUGUUGACGCUGAGGUGCGAAAGCGUGGGGAGCAAACAGG